Molecule: ribosomal RNA, 449 nt
Filed under: uncultured bacterium
Lineage: Bacteria
Description: partial 16S ribosomal RNA
Rfam family: Bacterial small subunit ribosomal RNA
Source: RNAcentral
UUCCAGACUCCUACGGGAGGCAGCAGUGGGGAAUAUUGGGCAAUGGGCGCAAGCCUGACCCAGCAAUGCCGCGUGAAGGAAGAAGGCCUUCGGGUUGUAAACUUCUUUUAUCAGGGACGAAGGAUGUGACGGUACCUGAUGAAUAAGCUCCGGCUAACUACGUGCCAGCAGCCGCGGUAAUACGGAGGAUGCGAGCGUUAUCCGGAUUUAUUGGGUUUAAAGGGUGCGCAGGCGGAUUUUUAAGUCAGCGGUCAAAUCGUGGGGCUCAACCCCAUCCAGCCGUUGAAACUGGGGAUCUAGAGUGUGCGAGAGGUAUGCGGAAUGCGUGGUGUAGCGGUGAAAUGCAUAGAUAUCACGCAGAACCCCGAUUGCGAAGGCAGCAUACCGGUGCACAACUGACGCUCAGGCACGAAAGCGUGGGUAUCGAACAGGAUUAGAUACCCGUGUAC